This 592-nucleotide ribosomal RNA is filed under the name Streptomyces sp. RNAcentral describes it as "bacterial SSU rRNA". It matches the Rfam family "Bacterial small subunit ribosomal RNA", at positions 273 to 875 of the family's 1533-position model. The record is from RNAcentral. Lineage: Bacteria; Bacillati; Actinomycetota; Actinomycetes; Kitasatosporales; Streptomycetaceae.
GCGACGACGGGUAGCCGGCCUGAGAGGGCGACCGGCCACACUGGGACUGAGACACGGCCCAGACUCCUACGGGAGGCAGCAGUGGGGAAUAUUGCACAAUGGGCGAAAGCCUGAUGCAGCGACGCCGCGUGAGGGAUGACGGCCUUCGGGUUGUAAACCUCUUUCAGCAGGGAAGAAGCGCAAGUGACGGUACCUGCAGAAGAAGCGCCGGCUAACUACGUGCCAGCAGCCGCGGUAAUACGUAGGGCGCAAGCGUUGUCCGGAAUUAUUGGGCGUAAAGAGCUCGUAGGCGGCUUGUCACGUCGGAUGUGAAAGCCCGGGGCUUAACCCCGGGUCUGCAUUCGAUACGGGCUAGCUAGAGUGUGGUAGGGGAGAUCGGAAUUCCUGGUGUAGCGGUGAAAUGCGCAGAUAUCAGGAGGAACACCGGUGGCGAAGGCGGAUCUCUGGGCCAUUACUGACGCUGAGGAGCGAAAGCGUGGGGAGCGAACAGGAUUAGAUACCCUGGUAGUCCACGCCGUAAACGUUGGGAACUAGGUGUUGGCGACAUUCCACGUCGUCGGUGCCGCAGCUAACGCAUUAAGUUCCCCGCCUG